This 281-nucleotide unclassified non-coding RNA is filed under the name plant metagenome. Its description in RNAcentral is "partial contains small subunit ribosomal RNA and internal transcribed spacer 1". The stretch from base 1 to 46 matches the Rfam family "Eukaryotic small subunit ribosomal RNA", at positions 1786 to 1831 of the family's 1831-position model. The record is from RNAcentral.
AAGUCGUAACAAGGUUUCCGUAGGUGAACCUGCGGAAGGAUCAUUACAAAUAAAGCUGGUAGGAAGUGGGGUCGUUGAUCUGGUAAGUCGGUACGGAGCAGAACAAGUUCCGGCUGCCUUACCCCGGAAAUGUCUUUACGUGUCCCCCAACAGACCUUGAAUGGCCAGAAUUACAACCCUUAGAUUAUCUACACUUGUUAGCUUUGGGGAUGCAUCAGUUGCCCCAGAGGACCCAACUCUCUUGCAUUUAGUGACGUCUGAGUACUAUAUAAUAUUUAAAA